This 490-nucleotide ribosomal RNA is filed under the name uncultured bacterium. Its description in RNAcentral is "partial 16S ribosomal RNA". It matches the Rfam family "Bacterial small subunit ribosomal RNA", at positions 30 to 507 of the family's 1533-position model. The record is from RNAcentral.
AUUGAACGCUGGCGGCAGGCCUAACACAUGCAAGUCGAACGGUAACAGGAAGAAGCUUGCUUCUUUGCUGACGAGUGGCGGACGGGUGAGUAAUGUCUGGGAAACUGCCUGAUGGAGGGGGAUAACUACUGGAAACGGUAGCUAAUACCGCAUAACGUCGCAAGCCCAAAGAGGGGGACCUUCGGGCCUCUUGCCAUCGGAUGUGCCCAGAUGGGAUUAGCUAGUAGGUGGGGUAACGGCUCACCUAGGCGACGAUCCCUAGCUGGUCUGAGAGGAUGACCAGCCACACUGGAAAUGAGACACGGUCCAGACUCCUACGGGAGGCAGCAGUGGGGAAUAUUGCACAAUGGGCGCAAGCCUGAUGCAGCCAUGCCGCGUGUAUGAAGAAGGCCUUCGGGUUGUAAAGUACUUUCAGCGGGGAGGAAGGGAGUAAAGUUAAUACCUUUGCUCAUUGACGUUACCCGCAGAAGAAGCACCGGCUAACUCCGUG